Molecule: unclassified non-coding RNA, 302 nt
Filed under: Hevea brasiliensis (rubber tree)
Lineage: Eukaryota; Viridiplantae; Streptophyta; Magnoliopsida; Malpighiales; Euphorbiaceae
Source: RNAcentral
GGGUUUGGUGCGGGGCCGGCGCUUGUGUAAUCAGGAUUGUGAAUCAAUGGGAGAUACCUGGAAUUCUAUUACAUAGUUUAGGUGACACUUGGCAAAAUACACCCUUACAAUCUUGCUAUCUUGCAAGUGAAUCAAAUGGUUUUUGACUUGGUCUUCCAUCAACAUUGUGGUCGUUUUGUUAGGCUUUAAGCAAAACAGAGCCAGUGAUGGUUCAUUUAUUCUAUAACUGGAAUUUAAAUAUAACUCUCCAAAUUACCUUAAUGUUCUUUACAUAAAAAUGCAGCCCUUUUUUUUUUUUUUUU